UAGCCGUAAACGAUACUCGCUAGGUGUCGGCCACGGUGCGACCGUUGUCGGUGCCGUAGGGAAGCCGUGAAGCGAGCCACCUGGGAAGAACGGCCGCAAGGCUGAAACUUAAAGGAAUUGGCGGGGGAGCACAACAACGGGUGGAGCUUGCGGUUUAAUUGGAUUCAACGCCGGAAAUCUUACCGGGACCGACAGCAACAUGAAGGCCAAGCUGAAGACUUUGCCGGAUUAGCUGAGAGGUGGUGCAUGGCGUAGUCGUGU
RNAcentral lists this ribosomal RNA (261 nucleotides) under uncultured archaeon. Its description in RNAcentral is "partial 16S ribosomal RNA". It matches the Rfam family "Archaeal small subunit ribosomal RNA", at positions 748 to 1009 of the family's 1478-position model. The record is from RNAcentral.